CGGACGGGUGAGUAACGCGUGGGUAACCUGCCUCAUAGAGGGGGACAACAGUUGGAAACGACUGCUAAUACCGCAUAGUAAGAAAGAUUCGCAUGUUUCUUUCUUGAAAGAUUUAUCGCUAUGAGAUGGACCCGCGUCUGAUUAGCUAGUUGGUAAGGUAACGGCUUACCAAGGCGACGAUCAGUAGCCGGCUUGAGAGAGUGAACGGCCACAUUGGGACUGAGACACGGCCCAAACUCCUACGGGAGGCAGCAUG
Molecule: ribosomal RNA, 256 nt
Filed under: uncultured bacterium
Lineage: Bacteria
Description: partial 16S ribosomal RNA
Rfam family: Bacterial small subunit ribosomal RNA
Source: RNAcentral